CCCACCAUGAAGUGGUUCAGCUCCACCUUCCUGCUCGCUCUGCUGGCGACGCUGCUGGCGGUCGCCACGGCAGCUCCUGGAGGAGGAGGAGGCGGUGGCGGUGGUGGUGGCCGACAUGGAGGCGGUGGCGGCGGCGGCGGCGGCGGUGGUGGAAGCUGCCACUGGUGGUGGUGUAGGGGGAAGUAGCAUCACCACUGUUCUCCGAAAUAUACCGAUCUGAUCUGAACGGACUGACGGACCAAACUGAACACUUAACCACUGCAGGAUGAUGAAGACGACCGCGGCGUGUAGCUUAGAUCUACUGAUUAAUUGGCAACGUUGGCGAUGCAUCCAUUCGGUCAUUAGCAAGUUGGAUGUGCCUCGCAAUACACAUAAAACUUUUUUGUGCUUCCGAUGCGUUUCUUUGCUCUGCCCUGUAGCUACAUGCCAAGUGAACGGUUGAUACCAUCCAAUGACUGUUUGUCAAGCAUCUGCUCUCGUAUUGAGCGUCGGAUAGAUUGUAUUCGUCUUUCGACUUACUGGAACGGCUCGGCACAAACGGCAAGUUGUUACAUACGAGCACAAAUAUAUAUGUGCAAGAGGUUCCGUGAUGUAGCAGAACUUUAGCACGAUUAAAGAAAGUAAUAGACCAUGUCUAACACUCGCGUAGAUUUUACUCUUGUUCAUAACGUGGACUCGUUGGAAAUGGUGUCGAUGGUAUCCUGUUUUUUUCCAAAUCCAGAAUAAUAGAGCUUCGUUGAAAU
This is a long non-coding RNA of Pollicipes pollicipes, 743 nucleotides long. RefSeq lists it as uncharacterized. NCBI's taxonomy places the organism in Eukaryota, Metazoa, Arthropoda, Thecostraca, Pollicipedomorpha, Pollicipedidae. The transcript is spliced from 2 exons. The record is from RefSeq and is a predicted model, not a curated record.